AACAAGCAGCCGUGUUCAAUUUCUGUUCUACGGAACUCUGUUUCAAACUCCUGUCCUUAAACAUCUAAAUCUCUUAUUUCUUAUUACUAACUCCCUUAUUUCUGCCUGCACUCACCUCCACCCCAGGUGUAGAAAAACUACAAGGGACGGGGCAGUACCUCAGGGCUGUUGGGGCUGGGGCUCAUUACAUCUCUGAGUCUCAAAGGACUGAAGGGCUUGAGCAGUUGCUGAAACCUGAGGCUAUGGGAGAAGCUGCCUUAAAAAACUGUGACAUUUGCUAAGGGGAAGGACCAACUUCUAGUAGUUGCGGGGAGAGAGCUGGAGGAUAAAUACCCCAACCUCACUGUCCUUCUUCCUCCCCUGUGGCCAAACCCGACUUGUCAGCUUCCUGGGGCCCAGAACGGGUAGAGAAGGGUAGAGAGUGGGUCUGGAAGAGCAAACGGAUGCUACCAAACACAAUGGAUCUUUACGGAACACUUGCUGCUUUAAGACAGCCUGCUAAAUGGAGUGAAGGCACUCAGAAAUAAGCUCAACACAUAUCCUGCCCUCCUGGACCUUUUGGACCAGUGGAUUGGGAGCGGCGUGAGAACAAGAUCCACAAAUGAGUCAUCACUGUGUUCCCUCCAACACUGAGCACCAAGCCUUGCACUUAGGAGGUGUGCUGGAUUAUCAGGAGUUACCUCAGUAUCACUGCCACCCCGUUAAGGUCACCCCGCUGAGAACUAUGGUUCCCAGAAUCCUGUUGCAGUGUGAGCCAUCUGCACAAAUGUUCGAAGAGAAGGGGCUGUUGUUUUCCGGAGGCGGUUGCAAGCAGAUGUUUGACGCAGCUUCCAGGUGAGCUCCCAGAGAAGAACGUUUGCCCUGAGUUAAUCCUGCAGGCUGAGGGAUUGGACGGAGCCUCCCACAGUUGCUUAAUAUGCAAGGAGUCUUGUGUGCCAGCUCUGGAGAAACUUUGACGCUAUCACUGACAGCCUCACAGACCUUGGAUUCUCCCACCCUUCCAACCAUUGUGUAAUCUUCUAAUUCCCUGCAUUAAAAAUAUUCAUACUUGAAAUAUAUUGAGUGCUGUCUGUUUUCAUGUCCAAACCCUGAACUAAUUGUUUAAUAAAUAUUUGCAGAAUGAAUGAAAAGGAAUUCUACUGGAUUGAAAAAUCAGGAGACAUUCCAUUUAUAUUUAUUGUUCAAAGCAAAAGAAAGUCACAUCUGUUGUGAGUUGAUUAUGUGGCAGGCAAUUUCCUGUGCAUUAUUUACCACCUCUCUAUAAUUCUGACAGAUGA
RNAcentral lists this long non-coding RNA (1277 nucleotides) under Equus caballus (horse). Its description in RNAcentral is "lncRNA (ENSECAG00000048289.1)". The record is from RNAcentral. Lineage: Eukaryota; Metazoa; Chordata; Mammalia; Perissodactyla; Equidae.